Molecule: non-coding RNA, 252 nt
Organism: Vicia faba (fava bean)
Lineage: Eukaryota; Viridiplantae; Streptophyta; Magnoliopsida; Fabales; Fabaceae
Source: the annotation of a GenBank genome assembly
AUGGUGAUUGAGGGAGGAAUGAGAGAAUUGAGAGGAGUUGUUGAUGAAGCACAAAGAGAAUAUUGCAGAAUGAAUGAGCUUGUUUUUGGCAGUGGAGGAUUUGAGCAUUAUGCCGAACAACAACUUGCUGCUCAUCAGCGCACUCUUCAAACAAUACAGAAGUGUCACAUCGACAGCAUAUUUACUGAGAGUAAAUUUCUGCAAGCUAAAUCUCUCGAACAACUUGCAAAAGCGCUCAUUUGGGCCGCAUGA